Meleagris gallopavo (turkey) is the source of this 336-nucleotide non-coding RNA. Lineage: Eukaryota; Metazoa; Chordata; Aves; Galliformes; Phasianidae. The record is from RefSeq and is a predicted model, not a curated record.
AUGACUCUAUGACUCUAAGCUGUGAGGUCACAUCCAGAAGAACAGAGAUUCCCUGACCAAUUCUGAAAUCUCUGCAUAUCCUCCUACAAAUCAGACACUUUGCAAUUCAAAGUGUCAGUAAAAAAUGAAAAUGCAUUUGAUUCAGGCUUACAGUGGAUUUGUACAAUUGCCUUCCUCAGCACCAUGAAGGCUGAGCUGCAGGAUGGCACUGAUCCAGUUUCCACCUGAACCCAGGCAGCUGAAGCUGGACAAUCCAAUGUUUUGAGGAGCACCUAAAAAUGCAUACUCACCCCAAAUCACUGAUGCACAGAUACAUGGAACAAUCAUUUGGCUCCA